This is a non-coding RNA of Neurospora crassa OR74A, 963 nucleotides long. Lineage: Eukaryota; Fungi; Ascomycota; Sordariomycetes; Sordariales; Sordariaceae. The record is from RefSeq and is a predicted model, not a curated record.
GCGAGAUCAAUCGCCGUCAACCACGGACAAUACAACGCCAUCUCCUUUGUCAAUAGAAUUGAUGCUGUCAGGUAAAAUUCAAAAGACCCGGACAGCACUGCCCAAUUUCACAUCUUCUUGUCUUCAGCUCGGCCCGGAGAGGUAAAGGCUCCAUGCGUCUUAUCGCUCGACAUGGACCGGCAUCCGAUCAAGUUUCGGAACUGUUUCCGUGGGGUACACGGCGCUAUCCACGGCUCACGGACAGCGAUAUCAACGGCGUAUGGGUCGUUCUUAAGACCACUUGGCUACCGUUCUAGCCCUGCCCCAACCUCCCACGGUCGCUAUUGCGUGAUGGUUUGUGGUGGGGCCACGUCGGUGUUCUUAACACCCAUUCCUUGUUCAACUCCCCCAACUGCCCAAUAUUCCCCACGCCAUGGCAUCGCGACAUGGGACUGGACAAGACUGAAAAAUUGAAAACAAGAGACCCUACUCUCAUCCCCAAAAUACUUAUCUCGACUCUUCCCAGCCAGGCUUCUUUCCUUUCUGCCCUCAGCAAUCCACGGUAGUCGGCUCCUUUUAGUCUGGUAGUCAAGUGGAACUUGAUUUCCACUGCCGGCGUGGUACGGCCUACGGGCGGACACGCGAUGGGAGACACUUACACGCGGAACCUACAGUUUGUUGUUGUUUAAGAGGCUCCAUUGUCAUAUGCCACUGAUGUGUUUGCUAACAUGUCAUGGGCUUCAUUGAGUACUGUUUCCAAUCUUUCGUCUGUUUGAAGCAGAUGGUCAAGCAGUCGAAUGUUGCACUAGAACCCUCAGCAAACUGCCACGUGGGGAAGCUUUCCAACAUCUCGGUAACUCGUCCCUGAAGUGUGGUGGAUACAUUAGUCCCAAGAGUCGAUCGGAACGCCGUUUGGGCGGGUAACGUUCCGUACCAUAGACAGACAUGCAAACAAUUGGCGUUUCAAGACAUGCUUGCAGUCUG